AACAAACGCUGGCGGCGUGCCUAACACAUGCAAGUCGUACGAGAAAGUCGGCUUCGGCCGAUGAGUACAGUGGCGCACGGGUGAGUAGCGCGUGGGUAAUCUGCCCCCCGGUCAGGAAUAACCCGCCGAAAGGCGGGCUAAUACCCGAUAACACUGACGCUCCGCGGAGCGUCUUUCAAAGAAGGCCUCUGUUUACAAGCUUUCGCCGGAGGAUGAGCCCGCGUACCAUUAGCUAGUUGGCAGGGUAAUGGCCUACCAAGGCUACGAUGGUUAGCUGGUCUGAGAGGAUGAUCAGCCAGACUGGAACUGAGACACGGUCCAGACUCCUACGGGAGGCAGCAGUAGGGAAUUUUCCACAAUGGACGAAAGUCUGAUGGAGCAACGCCGCGUGCAGGAUGAAGGCCCUUGGGUUGUAAACUGCUUUUAAUGUGCGAAGAUUAUGACAGUAACACAUAGAAUAAGGGUCGGCUAACUACGUGCCAGCAGCCGACGGUU
RNAcentral lists this ribosomal RNA (495 nucleotides) under uncultured bacterium. Its description in RNAcentral is "bacterial SSU rRNA". It matches the Rfam family "Bacterial small subunit ribosomal RNA", at positions 29 to 522 of the family's 1533-position model. The record is from RNAcentral.